RNAcentral lists this ribosomal RNA (235 nucleotides) under uncultured bacterium. RNAcentral describes it as "partial 16S ribosomal RNA". It matches the Rfam family "Bacterial small subunit ribosomal RNA", at positions 99 to 334 of the family's 1533-position model. The record is from RNAcentral.
CGGACGGGUGAGUAACGCGUGGGUAACCUGCCUUGUACAGGGGGAUAACAGUCAGAAAUGACUGCUAAUACCGCAUAAGCGCACAGGACCGCAUGGUCCGGUGUGAAAAACUCCGGUGGUAUAAGAUGGACCCGCGUUGGAUUAGCUAGUUGGUGGGGUAACGGCCUACCAAGGCGACGAUCCAUAGCCGGCCUGAGAGGGUGAACGGCCACAUUGGGACUGAGACACGGCCCAG